RNAcentral lists this non-coding RNA (45 nucleotides) under Schistosoma margrebowiei. Lineage: Eukaryota; Metazoa; Platyhelminthes; Trematoda; Strigeidida; Schistosomatidae. The record is from RNAcentral.
AUCCAGCUGAUGAGUCCUAAAUAAGACGAAACGCGCAUCCUGAAU